RNAcentral lists this ribosomal RNA (849 nucleotides) under uncultured Chloroflexota bacterium. RNAcentral describes it as "bacterial SSU rRNA". It matches the Rfam family "Bacterial small subunit ribosomal RNA", at positions 28 to 895 of the family's 1533-position model. Lineage: Bacteria; Bacillati; Chloroflexota. The record is from RNAcentral.
GAUAAACGUUUGCGGUGCGCCUUAUGCAUGCAAGUUGUACGGGGUUAUAGUUUUCGGACUAUAAUCUAGUGGCGAACGGCUGAGUAACGCGUAAAUAACCUGCCUCUAAGUGGGGGAUAACCUGUCGAAAGAUAGGCUAAUACCGCAGUGGUAAUCAGGGAUUUCUUGGUUACUAAAGCCUUAGGGUGCUUAGUGAGGGGUUUGCGUCUGAUUAGCUAGUUGGCAGGGUAAUGGCCUACCAAAGCGAUGAUCAGUAGCUGGUCUGAGAGGAUGUCCAGCCAGAUGGGGACUGAGAUACGGCCCCAACUCCUAUGGGAGGCAGCAGCAAGGGAUAUUGGGCAAUGGGCGAAAGCCUGACCCAGCGACACCGCGUGAGGGAAGAAGGCCUUCGGGUUGUAAACCUCUUUUCUUGAGGAAGAAAUUUGACGGUACUCGAGGAAUAAGUCUCGGCUAACUACGUGCCAGCAGCCGCGGUAAUACGUAGGAGGCAAACGUUAUCCGGAUUUACUGGGCGUAAAGAGAGCGUAGGCGGUUUUUUAAGUCAGGUGUGAAAUUUUCUGGCUCAACCAGAAAACGUCAUCUGAUACUAUUGGGCUUGAGGGCAGCAGAAGGAAAUGGAAUUCCCAGUGUAGCGGUGAAAUGCGUUGAUAUUGGGAAGAACACCAGUGGCGAAGGCGAUUUCCUAGGUUGUUCCUGACGCUGAGGCUCGAAAGCGUGGGGAGCGAAGCGGAUUAGAUACCCGCGUAGUCCACGCCGUAAACGGUGGACACUAGAUAUGGGGAGUAUCGACCCUUUUCGUGUCGAAGCUGACGCUUUAAGUGUCCUGCCUGGGGAGACGGCCGCAAGGCU